RNAcentral lists this long non-coding RNA (1889 nucleotides) under Homo sapiens (human). RNAcentral describes it as "HSALNT0329411". Lineage: Eukaryota; Metazoa; Chordata; Mammalia; Primates; Hominidae. The record is from RNAcentral.
UGUCAUGAUAACAGCAUAGGGGAAACCAACCCUACUAUUCCAAUACCCCCACUUGGUGUUCCCCUUGACAUGUGGGGAUUAUGGAGAUUAUGGGCAUUACAAUUCAGGAUGAGAUUUGGGUGGGGAAACACACCCUAACCAUAUCAUCUUAACUAUGAAUUUUUUUUAUACUUCUCUUAAAAGUUUGGCAGUUUAGCUUUUAUAUUGCUCUAAUUAUCUAUUGCUGCAUAACAAAAUGUACCACAAUUUAGAAGCUUAAAACAACAACCAUGUUUAUUUGGCUCAUAAAUCUGCAUUUAAGCUGAGUUUGGUAAGCACUGCUUGUCUUUGUUCUACUCAAUGGCAGUUAGGGCACCUGGAAUGGCAGUUAGGGCAACUGGAAGGCUGGGAGCUGAAAUCACCUGAAGUCUCAUUCACUCACAUGUCUGAUGGUUGAUAUUGUCUAUCAGAUUCUUUUUUGUCUCCUUCUCUGCAAGAGGCUGGCACCAGAUCACCUCCUGAGUAGAGCAGACAUUCCAAAGGAUGUCCUGCCAACAAUAAUGGAAAGCUGGAUACAACUGAAUAUGUAAAAUGAUGUUAAUGAAGAAUUGAAGAGCACUGUAUCUAGUUUUCUGCUCUCCCCUGUAAGUAUUAACAUUUAUACUGCCACUUCACUUUGGAAUGUCAUAUUAAUUGUUCUCAGCACCUCAGUUUAAACUACCAACUCUUUUUUGGUAGUACCAGCUACCAGUAAUUCCACACACCAGGAUUAAAUGGCAAAAACCUAAGUAAUGAUGGUGAAAAUACUUCAAGAAAUGUAUAUAGUUUUUAAAAAUCGAAUUAUCUGUCACCUGAGUCAUUUAAUGUUUAUAAAUAGAAAGCCUUGAUUUUCAUGUGGCUCUGGAUAAUUGCAGAGCCAUUCUGGCGUCAAAACUAGGUCCAACAGAACUUUAGGGAAACAUGCCCCAGUGCUUAAUAAAUACUUGCAAGUAGAAGAUGCAAAACGGUCCACUGAACAAUCUCCAUCUAGGCCCUUUGCAUCUGGCCAAGAUGAAGUGAGCGGGGGUGCCUCAGUUUUAUAUCUAAAUGCCCAGCAUGUUCAGGUCAUCAGUCUGUCCAUGACAAUCUGGGAUUACGGUACAAAUUAGCAAGACCAGCAACUCAAACUAGGUCCAUUGUUGGUCAAGCCAUUAUGGCAUCUAUGCUGGUUCAUGUGUCUGGCCCAGGCAGCAUGAGUGUGAUAGACAGUGUGCCUAAACUAUUAAUAGUAAGUAUAUCCAGAUCAUCAGUCUCUUCACAAUGGGCACUGUUGAAGAGUUGGUCCAGAUGUUGGCCAUAUGUUUCAUCUUUCAUAUAUAUCCUUAAUUAUGGUCUAUGCUCUAGCUGGGAAUGCCUAAAGGUGGCUGUGGUUGAGUAGGAGGAGUGGGAUGGGGUUUUCACCAGCAUUUACCAAGAUUUGGGUCCUUUCUGCCUUCUGGCCUGGCCACUAGGCCUCUUAGAUGAGUUAACUCCAACCCCACUGGAUGGAGACUCUGUCACCUACCAUCCUCCACUUCUACCUCAUUGGUUCUACCACUGUCUCCUCCCAAGCCCCCUAAGAAAAAUACUUCAGCAAUAGUGCACAGGACUAGCCAUAGGAGAUACUUGGUCUCCUCGACACUGUCUAUGUGGCCUUAGAAAGGUCACUUUAGUUCUCUGGGCUUCACUUUCCUCCUCUUUAAAAUUAGAACAAUAAUAAUAUUUGCCUUGUAGGGCUCUUGUGAGGAUUUAACGAGCUCAUUCAUGCAGCAACUCUAAGUCACUAAUCAAUACAUUUGGUGGAUACUAGAGAUUUUACUGAUUAGAGAGAUCACAUGAAAACUUCUUGCAACCAAACACAGCACACCUAAGAUAUACCAUAUAUGCACAUA